This 299-nucleotide ribosomal RNA is filed under the name uncultured beta proteobacterium. RNAcentral describes it as "partial 16S ribosomal RNA". It matches the Rfam family "Bacterial small subunit ribosomal RNA", at positions 8 to 311 of the family's 1533-position model. The record is from RNAcentral. Lineage: Bacteria; Pseudomonadati; Pseudomonadota; Betaproteobacteria.
AGAGUUUGAUCCUGGCUCAGAUUGAACGCUGGCGGUAUGCUUUACACAUGCAAGUCGAACGGGCUUGGGGGCUUGCUCCCAGGUUAGUGGCGAACGGGUGAGUAAUAUAUCGGAACAUAUCCGGAAGUGGGGGAUAACGUAGCGAAAGUUACGCUAAUACCGCAUAUGCCCUGAGGGGGAAAGGGGGGGAUCGCAAGACCUCUCGCUUUCGGAGUGGCCGAUACCGGAUUAGCUAGAUGGUGAGGUAAAGGCUCACCAUGGCGACGAUCCGUAGCGGGUCUGAGAGGACGACCCUCCAC